CAAAUAUUUCCACUUUGGCCUGAUUUCCUCCGUGGCCAACUUUAAGCCCUCGACCGAACAUCAAUCGGCUGCAAAUUCUUCAAUGGACACUCAGCUUUACAGGCAGGAGGACUGGAGGACUCCAGGUCACAGAAGAGGACAGCUGAAGGAGAUCACAUGGGUUAGAAUGAAGCCAACCCUUACCUCACCCCUUAGGACCACCCAGACGUGGUGGUGCGCAUGUGUAAUUCCAGCGGUGGGAAGAUGGAGCUCCCCGGUCAGCCUGGAGCUUAUUCAGUGAGUUCCAAGGUAGUGAGAGACAAAGGCUCUCGAAGAAUGGCAGCUGAGGAUGUCCUCCACCCUCUAAAUGCAUGAGCACACAUGUACACAUAUGUACACACAGAAACUAAUGAAGGAGCUGUAAUGAUGUCCCCAUCCACUACAAUGGAAUCACACCAUAAGCUCAGGCUGUGGAAGGAUGGAUGUCCUCUUCAGACUUCUACUGCUGUGAUAAACACCAUGACCAAAAUAAAGUUGGGGAGGAGAGCGUUUUCUUGCCUCACAGAUUAUGGUCUAUCAUCAGGGUAAGUCAGGCCAGGAGCCCCGGGGCAGGAACUGAGGCAGAAGCCACAGAACACUGCUUCCUGAUUGGCUCUCCAUGGCAGGCUCAGCUUGUUUAUUUACACAACCCAGGACUACAUUCUGGGACUGGCACCACCCACAGUAGGUGAAAGUCUGCCUACUUCAAUCACCCAUCAAGGAAAUGCCUGUAGACUUGUCUAGAGGCCAGUCUUAUAGAAGUGUUUUUUCUAUUGAAGUUCCUUCUUUGCACAGGAAUCUAGAUUAUGUCAAGUUGAGGAAACAAACAAAGAACCCACCCCAGCCAAAACACAACAAAAUAACCAGCACAUAGUGAGGACCACAUUGGCCUAGAAACUUGUGCAUGGUGUGAGCACCAUUUGGGGUGCAUUAGGGGAUGCGUUUCUUCCAUCAUUCCUAAGAAGACACAUUUUUAUUUAAAUAACACCAGUAUAAUGGAACAGUCCGAAGGGCAUGAUCUAAGCAAUGAAAUUUGUGGAAUCUAACUCAUAGCUCUCUCAGUUUUACAAUAGUGUAAAGAUAAAAA
Molecule: long non-coding RNA, 1105 nt
Organism: Apodemus sylvaticus (European woodmouse)
Lineage: Eukaryota; Metazoa; Chordata; Mammalia; Rodentia; Muridae
Exons: 3
Source: RefSeq, a predicted model, not a curated record